Molecule: ribosomal RNA, 468 nt
Filed under: uncultured bacterium
Lineage: Bacteria
Description: partial 16S ribosomal RNA
Rfam family: Bacterial small subunit ribosomal RNA
Source: RNAcentral
GACGAACGCUGGCGGCGUGCUUAACACAUGCAAGUCGAACGGAAAGGCCCUGCUUUUGUGGGGUGCUCGAGUGGCGAACGGGUGAGUAACACGUGAGUAACCUGCCCUUGACUUUGGGAUAACUUCAGGAAACUGGGGCUAAUACCGGAUAGGAGCUCCUGCUGCAUGGUGGGGGUUGGAAAGUUUCGGUGGUUGGGGAUGGACUCGCGGCUUAUCAGCUUGUUGGUGGGGUAGUGGCUUACCAAGGCUUUGACGGGUAGCCGGCCUGAGAGGGUGACCGGCCACAUUGGGACUGAGAUACGGCCCAGACUGCUACGGGAGGCAGAAGUGGGGAAUAUUGCACAAUGGGCGGAAGCCUGAUGCAGCAACGCCGCGUGCGGGAUGACGGCCUUCGGGUUGUAAACCGCUUUCGCCUGUGACGAAGCGUGAGUGACGGUAAUGGGUAAAGAAGCACCGGCUAACUACGUG